RNAcentral lists this transfer RNA (71 nucleotides) under Phrynosoma platyrhinos (Desert horned lizard). RNAcentral's name for it is "tRNA-OTHER". The record is from RNAcentral. Lineage: Eukaryota; Metazoa; Chordata; Lepidosauria; Squamata; Phrynosomatidae.
GCCAGUGUGGUGUCAUGGUUUGAACAUUGGACUGUGACUCUGGAGGCCAGGGUUCAAAUCCCUAUUUGGCC